AAGAAAGCUUGAAAGAGUGGAGAAAUUCAAGAAAGAAAACUAAGGAAGAGAGAUAGAAAUGGAGAAUUAGGAAGAACACGGAUCCGAUUUAGUUUUAUCAGGUAAUCUAAUUAAUUUUUCUAAUUUUUUUUAGUAUAUUCAGUUUAAGAAUGAUCUAAAUACUGUAGGAUUGACUCUUAUACUCUAUCUUAGUUAAAGUUAAGAAAUAUGUUGAAAAUACGGCAUGAGGAUUCCGUUUUAAGACUACAUGUCAAGUAUAGGUUAUACCCUGUUUUUAUUUCAAAACUACUAUUAAUAUUUUGGCCAUAACUUCUUUAUAUUAAAAUAUUUUGGUUUGAUUCAAGUUUCUUUGAACAACUAACUCAAAUACCUUCAACUUUGAUUCAAAUAGUAUUUUUUCAAUUUUGAGUUUAGGUUGCCCAAAAUACGCUUGGAAGUCAGGCUAAAAAAAGUGAGUCUUCUAUUUUUUCUCCAGCUGGACCGGUCGAACUCUUUUUGACCGGUAGAGCAUAUAUGUUUUAGACUAGGAUCAUGCUGGAUCAAUCAAACUUUUUCCCGAUCAGUAGAGCAUAUAUAUUUUAAACUCUGAUCAUAUUGGACUGGUCAAACAUGUUCCCCGAUCGGUUGAACUUGUCUCAAUCGGUUGAAUUUUUUCUCAACCGGUAGAAGGUUACCCUAUCAUGCCACUGUCUGAUCAUACUUUAGAGAUUUGUGUAAUUUUUUCAUUAAUUUAAUGUCCUGCUAAGUAUUGCUCACUAUGCAGUAGUUAAUAUACACUUUUCACAUAUUUCAAUGCACAUGUGCGAAUAUUUAUAAACUUUUUAAGCUUAAAUUUUUUCUUUCGAAUAGUAGUUACCAUUUUGUUUUAAUUUUAAUACUCGCCUGCCCUAUAUAUGUAGAUCCAUCUCAUUUGAUAUAUUGCCAUGAUGCAUGAUGAAUAAGGGCAUAGCUCCGUAGAGAAACAGAGAAGACUCGCUUUGAAUAAAAAUUUGAAGAAAGAAAGAAAGAAGGGAAAAGAGAGGAGAAGAGUUUUGGCUAUCGACACACUGUCACGACACUUCUAAGAGAGUUAUGUGUAAAAUCAGUAGACUUGAGAGAAAAUGGUUUGGAUUCAAAUUUUUGUGGAUAGAUUUCUCUGUAAC
Molecule: long non-coding RNA, 1142 nt
Filed under: Actinidia chinensis (golden kiwifruit)
Lineage: Eukaryota; Viridiplantae; Streptophyta; Magnoliopsida; Ericales; Actinidiaceae
Description: long non-coding RNA (ACHI_LNC007482)
Source: RNAcentral